CUACGGGCCGCUGCAGUGAGGAAUAUUGCACAAUGGGGGGAACCCUGAUGCAGCAACGCCGCGUGGAGGAUGACGCAUUUCGGUGUGUAAACUCCUUUUAUAUGUCAAGAAAAUGACGGUAGCAUAUGAAUAAGCACCGGCUAACUCCGUGCCAGCAGCCGCGGUAAUACGGAGGGUGCAAGCGUUACUCGGAAUCACUGGGCGUAAAGGACGCGUAGGCGGGAUAUCAAGUCAGGUGUGAAAUCCUACAGCUUAACUGUAGAACUGCACUUGAAACUUCUAAUCUAGAGUAUGGGAGGGGGAGAUGGAAUUAGUGGUGUAGGGGUAAAAUCCGUAGAUAUCACUAGGAAUACCUAAAGCGAAGGCGAUCUCCUGGAACAUUACUGACGCUAAGGCGUGAAAGCGUGGGGAGCAAACAGGAUUAGAUACCCGUGUAGUC
RNAcentral lists this ribosomal RNA (439 nucleotides) under uncultured bacterium. RNAcentral describes it as "partial 16S ribosomal RNA". It matches the Rfam family "Bacterial small subunit ribosomal RNA", at positions 339 to 795 of the family's 1533-position model. The record is from RNAcentral.